GCGAAAAUAACUCAAAGGUAGAGUGUAAUUUUGCCAAGAUUAUGGUUGAGGGUUCGAAUCCCUUUUUUCGCU
RNAcentral lists this transfer RNA (72 nucleotides) under Cyanidiaceae sp. MX-AZ01. RNAcentral's name for it is "tRNA-Gly". It matches the Rfam family "tRNA". From Rfam's summary of the family: Transfer RNA (tRNA) molecules are approximately 80 nucleotides in length. Their secondary structure includes four short double-helical elements and three loops (D, anti-codon, and T loops). Lineage: Eukaryota; Rhodophyta; Bangiophyceae; Cyanidiales; Cyanidiaceae. The record is from RNAcentral.